GCAGAUGUGGCGGAAUUGGUAGACGCGCUACAUUCAGGGUGUAGUGGGCGAAUGCCCGUGUGAGUUCGAGUCUCGUCAUCUGUA
This 84-nucleotide transfer RNA is filed under the name Prevotella sp. RNAcentral describes it as "tRNA-Leu". It matches the Rfam family "tRNA". Rfam says of the family: Transfer RNA (tRNA) molecules are approximately 80 nucleotides in length. Their secondary structure includes four short double-helical elements and three loops (D, anti-codon, and T loops). Further hydrogen bonds mediate the characteristic L-shaped molecular structure. tRNAs have two regions of fundamental functional importance: the anti-codon, which is responsible for specific mRNA codon recognition, and the 3' end, to which the tRNAs corresponding amino acid is attached (by aminoacyl-tRNA synthetases). tRNAs cope with the degeneracy of the genetic code in two manners: having more than one tRNA (with a specific anti-codon) for a particular amino acid; and 'wobble' base-pairing, i.e. permitting non-standard base-pairing at the 3rd anti-codon position. The record is from RNAcentral. Lineage: Bacteria; Pseudomonadati; Bacteroidota; Bacteroidia; Bacteroidales; Prevotellaceae.